Molecule: long non-coding RNA, 717 nt
Organism: Gopherus flavomarginatus (Mexican gopher tortoise)
Lineage: Eukaryota; Metazoa; Chordata; Testudines; Testudinidae
Exons: 2
Source: RefSeq, a predicted model, not a curated record
AGCCAGGACGAAGGUAGCCAGUCGCAGCAGCCGGUACUUGGUGGAGGACAAACAGAAGAGCAGGUUCCCGAUGCAAGCUUGAGAUCUCAGCCGUCCAUGUUAUCACCAGCUGAGAGACUGCAAAGACUCAGGAAGAGGCCACGAAAAAGCAAAGAUGACACGCUGCAAGAAGUGAUGCAGCAAUCUCUUAAAGAGAAUCAAAAAGCGCAGGCAUGGAGGGAGAGCGAAAGCAGGAUCCGCCAGGAAAAUGCAGCACGCCAGCAGCAAAGCACGGAGUACCAUCAGCAGAGUAUGGAUCAGCUGAAUAAGCAUCAUGGAGCACCAAGCAGACUCUAUCCAGGCGCUUGUAGCCAUGCAGGUGGAGCAUUACCGCACCCGCCCCACCCCUUGCAGCCCUUGUCCCAAAACUCUUUCCCUUGUGCCCCUAUGUCACCUCCAAUCCACUUUCCCCAACAUCCGGGUUCUUACCGCCACCAGCUGCCUCCAAUACCUGUAUCUUCACCACCCAGCCCUGAAAACUACGACGCUUACCCUCUGCACUCAACUCCCAUUACCAUGCAGUACAGCCAUCUUGAUGUGCAGCACUCAUUGCACAGCACUCCAGACAGGACAUAAGCAAGUCUGUGAUUGUACCGUUCCCCACCCCACCCCCUUGCCCUUUCUGAUUCCCAAGCAGUUAUGUUUCUUUUCAAUAAAUGGAUUUUUUGGCUUUGAAAA